UACGUAGGGGGCAAGCGUUGUCCGGAUUUAUUGGGCGUAAAGAGCGUGUAGGCGGUUUGGUAGGUCCGCUGUGAAAACUCGAGGCUCAACCUCGAGACGCCGGUGGAAACCAUCAGACUAGAGUCCGGAAGAGGAGAGUGGAAUUCCUGGUGUAGCGGUGAAAUGCGCAGAGUAUCAGGAAGAACACCCGUGGCUAAGGCGGCUCUCUAGUACGGUACUGACGCUGAGGAGCGAAAGCGUGGGGAGCGAACAGG
RNAcentral lists this ribosomal RNA (254 nucleotides) under uncultured bacterium. Its description in RNAcentral is "partial 16S ribosomal RNA". It matches the Rfam family "Bacterial small subunit ribosomal RNA", at positions 524 to 776 of the family's 1533-position model. The record is from RNAcentral.